This 497-nucleotide ribosomal RNA is filed under the name uncultured bacterium. RNAcentral's name for it is "partial 16S ribosomal RNA". It matches the Rfam family "Bacterial small subunit ribosomal RNA", at positions 28 to 507 of the family's 1533-position model. The record is from RNAcentral.
GACGAACGCUGGCGGCGUGCCUAAUACAUGCAAGUUGAGCGCUGAAGGUUGGUACUUGUACCAACUGGAUGAGCAGCGAACGGGUGAGUAACGCGUGGGGAAUCUGCCUUUGAGCGGGGGACAACAUUUGGAAACGAAUGCUAAUACCGCAUAAAAACUUUAAACACAAGUUUUAAGUUUGAAAGAUGCAAUUGCAUCACUCAAAGAUGAUCCCGCGUUGUAUUAGCUAGUUGGUGAGGUAAAGGCUCACCAAGGCGAUGAUACAUAGCCGACCUGAGAGGGUGGUCCGCCACAUUGGGACUGGGACACGGCCCAAACUCCUUCGGGAGGCAGCAGUAGGGGAUCUUCGGCAAUGGACGGAAGUCUGGCCGAGCAACGCCGCGUGAGUGAAGAAGGUUUUCGGAUCGUAAAACUCUGUUGGUAGGGAAGAACGUUGGUGAGAGUGGAAAGCUCAUCAAGUGACGGUAACUACACAGAAAGGGACGGCUAACUACGUG